GAUGAAGAACGUAGUGAAAUGCGAUAAGUAAUGUGAAUUGCAGAGUUCAGUGAAUCAUCGAAUCUUUGAACGCACAUUGCGCCCGUCAGUAUUCUGACGGGCAUGCCUGUCCGAGCGUCAUUUCAACCCUCAAGCACUGCUUGGCGUUGGCGGAUUGCGUGCCCUCGCGGCGCCGCAACCACCCAAAUACAGUGGCGGUCCCGCUGCGGCUCCCUUUGCGUAGUAACUCACCUCGCACUGGACCGGGCGGCGGCCUGCCGUAAAACCCCAACUCACGAAAUGUUGACCUCGGAUCAGGUAGGAAUACCCGCUGAACUUAAGCAUAUCAAUAAGCGGAGGA
Molecule: unclassified non-coding RNA, 340 nt
Filed under: soil metagenome
Description: partial contains 5.8S ribosomal RNA, internal transcribed spacer 2, and large subunit ribosomal RNA
Rfam family: 5.8S ribosomal RNA (bases 1-120)
Source: RNAcentral